RNAcentral lists this ribosomal RNA (253 nucleotides) under uncultured bacterium. RNAcentral describes it as "partial 16S ribosomal RNA". It matches the Rfam family "Bacterial small subunit ribosomal RNA", at positions 524 to 776 of the family's 1533-position model. The record is from RNAcentral.
UACGUAGGGUGCAAGCGUUGUCCGGAAUUAUUGGGCGUAAAGAGCUCGUAGGCGGUUUGUCGCGUCUGCUGUGAAAACUCGGGGCUUAACCCCGGGCCUGCAGUGGGUACGGGCAGACUAGAGUGCGGUAGGGGAGACUGGAAUUCCUGGUGUAGCGGUGAAAUGCGCAGAUAUCGAGAGGAACACCUGCGGCGAAGGCGGGUUGCUGGGCUGACACUGACGCUGAUGCGCGAAAGCUAGGGGAGCGAACGGG